UUUAAAAAAAAAUCUAGAUACUCCCCUUUAUCUAAAAAAUCGCUUUGAGUUUCUCUGCGACACUCAUGAGCGUUCCCUCGGUCAUCUUCAACCUUAACACUCAAAACUCCUUCCCAUACUACUUCCUUUUGUUCAAACUCCUUUUCUUUUAAAGCUGUAAAACUUUGGAACUCUCUUUCUCUCUCUAUAACAAAAGCUCAAUCUCUAUCUUGUUUUAAAAAA
Long non-coding RNA from Melitaea cinxia (Glanville fritillary), 222 nucleotides. RefSeq lists it as uncharacterized. The transcript is spliced from 3 exons. The record is from RefSeq and is a predicted model, not a curated record. NCBI's taxonomy places the organism in Eukaryota, Metazoa, Arthropoda, Insecta, Lepidoptera, Nymphalidae.